CAAUAGCGUAUAUUUAAGUUGCUGCAGUUAAAAAGCUCGUAGUUGGAUUUCGGGUGGGAAUGGCCGGUCCGCCGUUUCGGUGUGCACUUGCUACGCCCACCUUGCUGCCGGGGACGUGCUCUUGAGUUCACGCUCGGGACACGGAGUCGGCGAGGUUACUUUGAGUAAAUUCGAGUGUUCAAAGCAGGCCUACGCUCUGAAUACAUUAGCAUGGAAUAACACGAUAGGACUCUGGCCUAUCUUGUUGGUCUGUAGGACCGGAGUAAUGAUUAAGAGGGACAGUCGGGGGCAUUCGUAUUUCAUUGUCAGAGGUGAAAUUCUUGGAUUUAUGAAAGACGAACUACUGCGAAAGCAUUUGCCAAGGAUGUUUUCAUUAA
RNAcentral lists this ribosomal RNA (377 nucleotides) under uncultured eukaryote. RNAcentral describes it as "partial 18S ribosomal RNA". It matches the Rfam family "Eukaryotic small subunit ribosomal RNA", at positions 592 to 976 of the family's 1831-position model. The record is from RNAcentral.